CGUGCAAAGGUAGCGUAAUCACCUGUCUUUUAAAUAAAGACCUGUAUGAAUGGCAAGACGAGGGUUUUACUGUCUCCUCCCCCCAGUCAAUGAAAUUGAUCUACCCGUGCAGAAGCGGGUAUAAAAACAUAAGACGAGAAGACCCUAUGGAGCUUUAGGCAUAUAUCAAAUAUGUAAAAAACCAAAUUUUUCCAAAUAGGCCUAAAAAAUGAGAAAAACAAGUAUUAAUGAUUAAGUGCCUUCGGUUGGGGCGACCACGGGGAAAAAUAAAACCCCCACAUGGAAUGGGAAAAAUAACCCUAAGCCAAGAAAAACACUUCUAAGCAACAAAAUUUUUGACCAAUAAACGACCCAGGGACACCAUCCCUGAGCAAUGAACCAAGUUACCCUAGGGAUAACAGCGCAAUCCUUUCCCAGAGCCCAUAUCAACGAAAGGGUUUACGACCUCGAUGUUGGAUCAGGGCAUCCUAACGGUGCAGCCGCU
RNAcentral lists this ribosomal RNA (484 nucleotides) under Conger erebennus. RNAcentral describes it as "partial 16S ribosomal RNA". It matches the Rfam family "Bacterial large subunit ribosomal RNA", at positions 1947 to 2563 of the family's 2925-position model. Lineage: Eukaryota; Metazoa; Chordata; Actinopteri; Anguilliformes; Congridae. The record is from RNAcentral.